CUCGUAGGCGGUUUGUCGCGUCGGGAGUGAAAACCCAGGUGCUUAACACCUGGCUUGCUUUCGAUACGGGCAGACUAGAGGUAUGCAGGGGAGAACGGAAUUCCUGGUGUAGCGGUGAAAUGCGCAGAUAUCAGGAGGAACACCGGUGGCGAAGGCGGUUCUCUGGGCAUGACCUGACGCUGAGGAGCGAAAGUGUGGGGAGCGAACA
RNAcentral lists this ribosomal RNA (208 nucleotides) under uncultured bacterium. RNAcentral describes it as "partial 16S ribosomal RNA". It matches the Rfam family "Bacterial small subunit ribosomal RNA", at positions 568 to 774 of the family's 1533-position model. The record is from RNAcentral.